UACAGCCAUACCACAUUGAACCGCCGGUUCUCAUACGACCACUGAAGUUAAGCAACAUCCAACCAGGUCAGUACCUGGAUCCAUGACCGCUUGAGAACGCCAUGUGCUGUAA
This is a non-coding RNA of Acanthosepion pharaonis, 112 nucleotides long. The record is from the annotation of a GenBank genome assembly. Lineage: Eukaryota; Metazoa; Mollusca; Cephalopoda; Sepiida; Sepiidae.